GCAGCUCUAUUGAUUUUGUUAGACUCCCAUUCCCUUCGAGAGAUGACGAUUGGAGUGUAGAGGUAGAUGAGGUACCCAUUUGGUUAUUAAUUGGUAGAAUCCUGAACACUGAAUUACAUUAGUGAACAAUUGACCCAAUUAGAUGGCAAGAUGAUGAGUAUACCAAAUGGCUAAUGACUAGUUUAUUACAACUGUCUUAAUUGAUUAGAGUAAGUCAGCUGAUCAACAAUUUGCUCUGUUGCCUU
RNAcentral lists this long non-coding RNA (245 nucleotides) under Homo sapiens (human). RNAcentral's name for it is "HSALNT0237567". The record is from RNAcentral. Lineage: Eukaryota; Metazoa; Chordata; Mammalia; Primates; Hominidae.